GCCCCUUAUUCCUCCCACCACUUUUCUUCUCCAACCCGACGGCCACCUCUCUCCUCCAUUGUUCCCUGCCUCCAAACUCUUCCGUCCCCCCUCGCCCCGUGUCCCGAAGACCGGCGCGCCGCCGCCCCCAUCCGGCCGCCGUCCGCCCUUCCCUGCUUGCACCGGCCGCCGUCCCGUGCAGAGGAGCCGCCGUCCCCGUGUCCUAGCUCCGCCCUCGACGCGAGGAGCUGCCGCGCCACCUUCGCGAGGAGCUGUCGUGCCACCGCCGCGAGGAGAUCCGGCCGCCGUCGAGCCGUCGUGAGGAGAUCCGGCCGCCGUCGAGACGCCCGCCAUCCCUGCUUGAACCGGCUGCCGUCCGUGCACCCAAGGAGCUGUCGUCCCCGCUCCUGGCGCCAUCCCCAUCCCCAACCCCUGGAAAAGCUGUAUCUAAAUUCUGCGCAAAACAUUUGCAUAAACAAGUCCUCAUAAAUGAUGCAAAUUCAUCGGGUGAUCUACCCGCUUCUGUCCAUAAAGCUUUCUUAAGGUAAAUUUCAGGCUUCUUGUUUAGAAAUGAAGUCAGUUUUGGAAAAUGGGCAUCACAUAUUUCAUGGUACAAAAGCUUCUCCGGUGCUUAUUAAUGGAACUAAUCAAAAUCGGGCUUGGUGCUUUCAGUGUUCAUCACCCAAACUGAUUGGUAAGCCCUUAAUAUCAUUGCCUUAUUGACUGAGAUAGAAAUAGAAUACCUUUCAAGUAGCUAUCCUGAAAACAAUAAGAACAAGACAAAUUGAUUCACUGAAGAUUUUUGCUUCUCAGACUUGGAUCCAAGGUUAAACAUGAGUAGAUAAUAUUCCAUAUUUUCAGCUGGCUAAAGUGCUGAAAAAUCUGAUGAGCUUAGGUCAUUCUUUGACAGACUUAAUAACUGCACUAGAGAAAAUUUUUGUACUUUCAUUUCAAAAUUUAAUGCACUGUUAUAUUCCAAUACAAAGUCCUUCCAUAUAAUAAAACUAAUAUAUUUUUGUAGCAUGGAUGUUACUUGCAUUAAUCGCUGGACUUGGACCUAUGCCGGUUCACUGGAUUGCCUUGCCGUCUGCAAUAAUAAUUUGGUGUGGAUUGGAAUACUUAACAAUAUCUCCCUUUACAACAUUAUAAUACAAUCCUUUCCAAGUUUUUUAGCCAGUCCUUGUACCAAUCGCUUAAGGCUGCCAUUUCUUCAAGAAACUUUUUCUAUUCCUUGUAACAAUCACUUAAGGCUGCCAUUGAAACUUGAGAUCUGUUUACCCACUUAGAAUAAGCAUGUUGCUUCCAUUGUUAUUAUUGUUUAAAACUUGGCAUAGUUCUGUCGUUUCAUUAUCUGCGUGCCAACAAUUUUACAGUGAACUUAAAAGCUGAUCCACUUGGAGUGCAUCAAUUUGGACGCAUUCAACUCUGCUGUUAAGCUCAUCCUUGUUGCACAUCGUUCUAUUACAAGCUAAGUCAGUUCGACUGUCCUGUCAACCACAACACACCAAAAGUGGAGCGAAUUCAGUAGUGGAAGGCACUGGUUGGUCAAUUCACGUUUAUUAGAAGCUCAAAUAAGGCUAAGUAGGAUCAGCAUGAUCACCAUAAGAAAAUUCUAUGUUUUAAUCUUGAUGUAUGAACUCUUUUAUUUAAUUUCAAUGUAUUUCUUAUGGUUGAAUUCUGCUACUAUAAUUAUAUAUUAUAUAGCUAUAUAAUUGGUGCAAUAUUAAUAUAUUAAUAUAUUUUUUUGAUGG
This is a long non-coding RNA of Panicum virgatum (switchgrass), 1730 nucleotides long. RefSeq lists it as uncharacterized. The record is from RefSeq and is a predicted model, not a curated record. Lineage: Eukaryota; Viridiplantae; Streptophyta; Magnoliopsida; Poales; Poaceae. The transcript has 3 exons.